This 253-nucleotide ribosomal RNA is filed under the name uncultured bacterium. Its description in RNAcentral is "partial 16S ribosomal RNA". It matches the Rfam family "Bacterial small subunit ribosomal RNA", at positions 524 to 776 of the family's 1533-position model. The record is from RNAcentral.
UACAGAGGUCCCAAGCGUUGUUCGGAUUCACUGGGCGUAAAGCGCACGUAGGUGGCGACGUAAGUCGGGUGUGAAAGCCCCGGGCUCAACCUGGGAAUUGCAUUCGAGACUGCAUUGCUGGAGUACGGAAGAGGAGGGCGGAAUUCCCGGUGUAGCGGUGAAAUGCGUAGAUAUCGGGAGGAACAUCAGUGGCGAAGGCGGCCCUCUGGUCCAGUACUGACACUCAAGUGCGAAAGCGUGGGGAGCAAACAGG